NAGAGUUUGAUCAUGGCUCAGAUUGAACGCUGGCGGCAGGCUUAACACAUGCAAGUCGAGCGGUAACAGAUCUAGCUUGCUAGAUGCUGACGAGCGGCGGACGGGUGAGUAACGCGUAGAAAACUGCCCAGUAGUGGGGGAUAGCCCAGAGAAAUUUGGAUUAAUACCGCAUACGCCCUACGGGGGAAAGGGGGCUUCGGCUCUCGCUAUUGGAUGUGUCUGCGUGGGAUUAGCUAGUUGGUGAGGUAAGGGCUCACCAAGGCGACGAUCCCUAGCUGGUCUGAGAGGAUGAUCAGCCACACUGGGACUGAGACACGGCCCAGACUCCUACGGGAGGCAGCAGUGGGGAAUAUUGCAAAAUGGGCGCAAGCCUGAUGCAGCCAUGCCGCGUGUGUGAAGAAGGCUUUCGGGUUGUAAAGCACUUUCAGUGAGGAGGAAAAG
RNAcentral lists this ribosomal RNA (441 nucleotides) under uncultured marine bacterium. Its description in RNAcentral is "bacterial SSU rRNA". It matches the Rfam family "Bacterial small subunit ribosomal RNA", at positions 8 to 452 of the family's 1533-position model. The record is from RNAcentral.